CUUUUUAACAUUGAGCCCCAUCAGAGCCUUCUUGUUGCACACUGAACUCAAGUGCAGCCACAGUUCUAACUAAUGGCCAAUAGGUGUCACUAGGUCCCCUGGCUGUGCCAGGCUGGAACCAGAGUAGCCAGGAGAGCUGACUGCCCUGUCUCUUUGGGGCCCUGACAGGGAACGGGGCAAAAGGAGGCAGCAGCUGGAGGCCAGUGGCUUGCCAGCAGCAGAGCUGGCAUUCGGCACACAGCUGCAGUUCUCAGGGCAUGGGCAGCUCCAGAUGGCAUCACCACAGGGAAAAUGUCCCGAUGGAGGCGGUUCACAGAAGGCUGGGCCGGGCCAACCUGCAUUAGGAGGGCAGAGCUGCUUCCUGCUGACAUAGGAUGCUGUUUUGGGGAAACAACAGUCCGAGCUCCCUCAAAGGUCUAUUUAAGGUUUCCCAGCAGAAGGGGACAUUGUCAGAGGCUCCAGCUGCAUGACUAUUUGGAGUUUGAUGGCCCUUUUGCCAGCAUGUUGGGCUUCUGGGUUCUCUUCCCCUGAGCCCAAUCCUAUGGCAGCCAUUUUAAGGUUUGGGAAAUUAACUCUUUCCAGUUUGUAGGAUGCAUCUGAAGGGAGUGUCUUGUAGUACAGAGACACAAUUACCUUUAUCUCUUCUGCAAUUACUUAUCGACCAUGUGUGGUACUGUAAGGGCUGGGAGAGGAUGAAAGAGCUGAAUGGCCUUCUCUAGACUCGUGGGCUGUCUCCCCAGUAGUAACUUGCUGGCCCUGCCCUUGAAGUGGAAAGAGUGUGAAGGGCUCCAUGAUCAAGCUCGUCCUCUUUUCUUACGUCGUCCCCCUCUGCUGUUUCCACUGCAGCUGAACAGGCCAUCAAGCAGCCUGCCAUGGGGCCCUGCUCCAAGAACCGGUUCUUCUGCUGGGCGACUGUGCUCCUGCACUGUUCUAGGAAAAACCCUGGAAAGAAACAGGAGGGGCCCAUCAAUUCAGGAACAUGUGAACAAGCUGAGAAGUAUCUGUUCCAUGGCAUAUUAUAGAAGCUUACAAAAACAAAUGUUCCGGUUAUCUGGAAGGAAUGUUCAACUUCCAUGAAGUCAGAUGCCUAGAUUUCCAUCAGCAAGAUUCAGGAACCUGAAUACAAUACAGUCUUCAUUUUAUAAAAGGAAACGCAGCCACCAAACUUUAAGUGUUUAUACACCCAUAUGUUUCUAAGACUAUGUUAAAAAUGUGGAAGGAAUCAGUAGAUUGCUAACAUGGGCUACAGGAGGGCAUAAAAUUGGGAAGGAAAACAUGGAGAGGGAGAAAGUAGGGAACACAGAAUGUUAAGCAAAAAGUGAACUGAAAGAAAGACUGUCCAAAUCUAGGCUGUAUGUCACAUUUGCUAUUUUAUGAACAACUAUAUGUUUGCAUUUAUAAUAACAUUAAAUUUUAAAAUGAGAA
Molecule: long non-coding RNA, 1425 nt
Filed under: Homo sapiens (human)
Lineage: Eukaryota; Metazoa; Chordata; Mammalia; Primates; Hominidae
Description: HSALNT0015984
Source: RNAcentral